GAGGAAUAAGCAUCGGCUAACUCCGUGCCAGCAGCCGCGGUAAUACGGGGGAUGCAAGCGUUAUCCGGAAUCAUUGGGCGUAAAGCGCCUGUAGGUUGUUUAAUAAGUCUGUUGUUAAAGACUAGGGCUUAACCCUAGAAAAGCAAUGGAAACUACUAGACUAGAGUAUGGCAGGGGUAGAGGGAAUUUCUAGUGUAGCGGUGAAAUGCGUAGAUAUUAGAAAGAACACCGGUGGCGAAAGCGCUCUACUGGACCAUUACUGACACUCAGAGGCGAAAGCUAGGGUAGCAAAAGGGAUUAGAUACCCCUGUAGUCCUAGCCGUAAACGAUGGAUACUAGAUGUUGUGUAUUAUAUACAGUAUCGUAGCUAACGCGUUAAGUAUCCCGCCUGGGGAGUACGCUCGCAAGGGUGAAACUCACAGGAAUUGACGGGGGCCCGCACAAGCGGUGGAGCAUGUGGUUUAAUUCGAUGCAACGCGAAGAACCUUACCAGGACUUGACAUACUACAAAUUCUUUUGAGAAAAAGAAGUGCCUUCGGGAAUGUAGAUACAGGUGGUGCAUGGCUGUCGUCAGCUCGUGUCGUGAGAUGUUGGGUUAAGUCCCGCAACGAGCGCAACCCUUAUUUUUAGUUACCAAUUCGUUGGGUUCUCUAGAAAGACUGCCGGUGACAAACCGGAGGAAGGUGAGGAUGACGUCAAGUCAGCAUGCCCCUUAUGUCCUGGGCUACACACGUGCUACAAUGGUUAAGACAAAGAGUCGCGAGCUCGCAAGGGUCAGCUAAUCUCAUAAACUUAGCCUAAGUUCAGAUUGUAGGCUGCAACUCGCCUACGUGAAG
This 836-nucleotide ribosomal RNA is filed under the name Haptophyta environmental samples. Its description in RNAcentral is "bacterial SSU rRNA". It matches the Rfam family "Bacterial small subunit ribosomal RNA", at positions 481 to 1325 of the family's 1533-position model. Lineage: Eukaryota; Haptophyta. The record is from RNAcentral.